This 399-nucleotide ribosomal RNA is filed under the name Salmonella enterica subsp. enterica serovar Give. Lineage: Bacteria; Pseudomonadati; Pseudomonadota; Gammaproteobacteria; Enterobacterales; Enterobacteriaceae. The record is from RNAcentral.
AAGUGAAACGCCGUAGCGCCGAUGGUAGUGUGGGGUCUCCCCAUGCGAGAGUAGGGAACUGCCAGGCAUCAAAUUAAGCGAAGGGCCCUGUCGGAAGACAGGGCCUUUUGUUUUAUCUGUAGUCUGCCGGUGAGCACUCGUUGCGCAGCAACGGCCCGUAGGGUGGCGGGCAGGACGCCCGCCAUAAACUGCCAGGCAUCAAAUUAGUGAAGAAGCCCGUCCGUCAGGACGGGCUUUUUUGCGUGUGUGGUAACUGUAAAAAUGCAGGCCUGAUAAGCGCAGCGCCAUCAGGCAACCUGCACCGCCGGAUGGCAGCUUCGCCUUAUCCGGCCUACGGCAUCGACACAAUGCCUGUGUAUACCGCCUUAUUCCGUCGACAUAACCGCAAGCCUUCCCUAC